GACGAACGCUGGCGGCGUGCUUAACACAUGCAAGUCGAACGGAAAGGCCCUGCUUUUGUGGGGUGCUCGAGUGGCGAACGGGUGAGUAACACGUGAGUAACCUGCCCUUGACUUUGGGAUAACUUCAGGAAACUGGGGCUAAUACCGGAUAGGAGCUCCUGCUGCAUGGUGGGGGUUGGAAAGUUUCGGCGGUUGGGGAUGGACUCGCGGCUUAUCAGCUUGUUGGUGGGGUAGUGGCUUACCAAGGCUUUGACGGGUAGCCGGCCUGAGAGGGUGACCGGCCACAAUGGGACUGAGGUACGGGCCCGACUCCUACGGGGGGGAGCAGUGGGGAAUAUUGCAACAUGGGCGGAAGCCUGAUGCAGCAACGCCGCGUGCGGGAUGAAGGCCUUCGGGUUGUAAACCGCUUUCGCCUGUGACGAAGCGUGAGUGACGGUAAUGGGUAAAGAAGCACCGGCUAACUACGUG
This 468-nucleotide ribosomal RNA is filed under the name uncultured bacterium. RNAcentral describes it as "partial 16S ribosomal RNA". It matches the Rfam family "Bacterial small subunit ribosomal RNA", at positions 28 to 507 of the family's 1533-position model. The record is from RNAcentral.